GAUGAACGCUGGCGGCGUGCCUAAUACAUGCAAGUCGAGCGAACGGACGAGAAGCUUGCUUUUCUGAUGUUAGCGGCGGACGGGUGAGUAACACGUGGAUAACCUACCUAUAAGACUGGGAUAACUUCGGGAAACCGGAGCUAAUACCGGAUAAUAUUUUGAACCGCAUGGUUCAAAAGUGAAAGACGGUCUUGCUGUCACUUAUAGAUGGAUCCGCGCUGCAUUAGCUAGUUGGUAAGGUAACGGCUUACCAAGGCAACGAUGCAUAGCCGACCUGAGAGGGUGAUCGGCCACACGGGAACUGAGACACGGUCCAGACUCCUACGGGAAGCAGCAGUAGGGAAUCUUCCGCAAUGGGCGAGAGCCUGACGGAGCAACGCCGCGUGAGUGAUGAUGGUCUUCGGAUCGUAAAACUCUGUUAUUAGGGGAGAACAUAUGUGUAAGUAACUGUGCACAUCUUGACGGUACCUAAUCAGAAAGCCACGGCUAACUACGUG
Molecule: ribosomal RNA, 497 nt
Filed under: uncultured bacterium
Lineage: Bacteria
Description: partial 16S ribosomal RNA
Rfam family: Bacterial small subunit ribosomal RNA
Source: RNAcentral